Molecule: ribosomal RNA, 497 nt
Filed under: uncultured bacterium
Lineage: Bacteria
Description: partial 16S ribosomal RNA
Rfam family: Bacterial small subunit ribosomal RNA
Source: RNAcentral
GAUGAACGCUGGCGGCGUGCCUAAUACAUGCAAGUCGAGCGAACAGACGAGGAGCUUGCUCCUCUGAUGUUAGCGGCGGACGGGUGAGUAACACGUGGAUAACCUACCUAUAAGACUGGGAUAACUUCGGGAAACCGGAGCUAAUACCGGAUAACAUGUUGAACCGCAUGGUUCAACAGUGAAAGACGGUCUUGCUGUCACUUAUAGAUGGAUCCGCGCCGCAUUAGCUAGUUGGUAAAGUAACGGCUUACCAAGGCAACGAUGCGUAGCCGACCUGAGAGGGUGAUCGGCCACACUGGAACUGAGACACGGUCCAGACUCCUACGGGAGGCAGCAGUAGGGAAUCUUCCGCAAUGGGCGAAAGCCUGACGGAGCAACGCCGCGUGAGUGAAGAAGGUCUUCGGAUCGUAAAACUCUGUUAUUAGGGAAGAACAAAUGUGUAAGUAACUAUGCACGUCUUGACGGUACCUAAUCAGAAAGCCACGGCUAACUACGUG